GGGGUUACGUAUUGUUUGAUCAUGGCUCAGAUUGAACGCUGGCGGAUGCUUUACAAUGGAACCGAUCACACGGACUUCGGUCUGGUGGCGAGUGGCGAAUCAUGAGUAAUGCAUCGAACGUGCCUAGUAGCGGGGGAUAACUACGCGAAAAAGCGCAGCUUAAUCGCAUACGCCCUUCGGGGGAAAGCGGGGGGACCUUUCGGGCCUCGCACUAUUAGAGCGGCCGAUAUCGGAUCUACGCUUAGUUGGUGGGGUAACGGCUCACCAAGGCGACGAUCCGUAGCUGGUUUGAGAGGACGACCAGCCACACUGGGACUGAGACACGGCCCAGACUCCUACGGGAGGCAGCAGUGGGGAAUUUUGACAAUGGGGGAAACCCCGAUCCAGCCAUCCCGCGUGGGCGAUGAAGGCCUUCGUUGUAAAGCACUUUUGGCGCAGGAAAGAAACGGCACGGAUAAUACCCCGUGCAACUGACGGUACCUGCAGAAUAAGCACCGGCUAACUACGCCAGCAGCCGCGGUAAUACGUAGGGUGCGCGUUAAUCGAUGUCCGUCCGGCGUAAAGCGUGCGCAGGCGGUUCGGAAAGAAAGAUGUAGUCCGUAGAUCAGAUCCUGGAACUGCAUUUUUAACUACCGAGCUAGAGUGUGUCAGAGGAGUGUGGAAUUCCGCGUGUAGCAGUGAAAUGCAGAUAUGCGGAGGAACACCGAUGGCGAAGGCAGCUUCCCGGAGUCAACACUGACGCUCAUGCACGAAAGCGUGGGGAGCAAACAGAGCUACAUAUCCGAAUUACGCCCUAAACGAUGUCAACUAGCUGUUGGGGCCUUCGGCCCGGUAGCGCAGCUAACGCGGUGAAGUUCGAUCCCGCCUGUAGGCAUGGUCGCAAGAUUAAACUCAAAGGAAUUGACGGGGACCCGCACAAGCGGUGGAUGAUGUGGAUUAAUUCGAUGCAACGAAAACCUUACCUACCCUUGACAUGUCUGAAUCCCGAAGAGAUUUGGGAGUGCUCGCAAGAGAACCGAACACAGGUGCUGCAUGGCUGUCGUCAGCUCGUGUCGAGAUGUUGGGUUAAGUCCCGCAACGAGCGCAAACUUUGUCAUUAGUUGCUACGAAAGGGCACUUGUCGAGACUGCCGGUGACAAACCGGAGGAAGGUGGGGAUGACGUCAAGCUCAUGGCCUCAGGCAGGGUCCACACGUCAUACAAUGGUCGGGACAGAGGGUCGCUAACCCGGGCGAGGGGAGCCAAUCCCAGAAACCCGAUCAACUGGAUCGCAGUCUGCAACUCGACUGCGCCACCACUGGAAUCGCUAGUAAUCGCGGAUCAGCAUGUCGCGGUGAAUACGUUCCCGGGUCUUGUACACACCGCCCGUCACGGGGAGUGGGUUUUACCAGAAGUAUUAGCCCAACCGUAAUGAUAUCGCCGCGACUACCACGGCAGGGAUCCAUGACUGGGUGAAGUCGUAACAAGGCAA
This 1470-nucleotide ribosomal RNA is filed under the name uncultured Bordetella sp. Its description in RNAcentral is "partial 16S-23S ribosomal RNA intergenic spacer". It matches the Rfam family "Bacterial small subunit ribosomal RNA". The record is from RNAcentral. Lineage: Bacteria; Pseudomonadati; Pseudomonadota; Betaproteobacteria; Burkholderiales; Alcaligenaceae.